UACGUAGGUGGCGAGCGUUGUCCGGAUUUACUGGGUGUAAAGGGCGUGUAGGCGGGAUAGCAAGUCAGGUGUGAAAUACCAAGGCUUAACCUUGGGGCUGCAUUUGAAACUGUUAUUCUUGAGUGUCGGAGAGGAAAGCGGAAUUCCUAGUGUAGCGGUGAAAUGCGUAGAUAUUAGGAGGAACACCAGUUGCGAAGGCGGCUCUCUGGACUGUAACUGACACUGAGGCACGAAAGCGUGGGGAGCAAACAGGAUUAGAUACCCUGGUAGU
Molecule: ribosomal RNA, 271 nt
Filed under: uncultured prokaryote
Description: partial 16S ribosomal RNA
Rfam family: Bacterial small subunit ribosomal RNA
Source: RNAcentral